UCCAACGUAGCUCAGUGGUAGAGCAAUCGGCUGUUAACCGAUCGGUCGUAGGUUCGAAUCCUACCGUUGGAG
This is a non-coding RNA of Halobacillus mangrovi, 72 nucleotides long. The record is from Rfam. NCBI's taxonomy places the organism in Bacteria, Bacillati, Bacillota, Bacilli, Caryophanales, Bacillaceae.